This 1403-nucleotide long non-coding RNA is filed under the name Sinocyclocheilus anshuiensis. Its description in RNAcentral is "lncRNA (ENSSANG00000034022.1)". The record is from RNAcentral. Lineage: Eukaryota; Metazoa; Chordata; Actinopteri; Cypriniformes; Cyprinidae.
CAGUCACAUAGUUCAAGAAGCAGGAAGUUCGAGCAGUACUGCAGUGAGUCAGCAAAAUGUUGUAGCUGUUCUGAGUGAGGCUCAUUCUGAAAUAUCUUCUCUCUUCUGUUAGAAGCAAUGUCUACAGGAGAGGAGAUGGAUAUGGGACUGAGGGAUGAUUGCAGAGCUUCAUUGUCUCUCAGGAAGGAGAUGAUCCAGCUCCAGCCCCGCCGCUGCUCUCCCCGUGCCAACUGUCCCAUUUGUUUAUUUGUGUUUACUCUUUCUAGGCCCUGCACAAAUAAAUGAGAUAAGUGAAUCCUGCGUGUGUGCGCUGAGAUGUUUUGAUUCGGACAGCAUCUGCAUGAGAUUCCUGUGACAUUCCGGAGUUUUCUGGCGGAUUCUGGGAAUUGGGGAGGACAAGGUUGGGUUUGUGAAUAGGAAUGCUUGGUGGUCUUAAUGAAUGGCAGAAAGGCUUUAACGAUGACACAUAUGAGUGACGGAUUGCUUGGGAGCGCUGGCAAGGGGAAUGUGUGAUGAAGUGUUUCAGUUGUUGCGAGUGAGGGUAUAUUUGUGCAGGUGGGAACAAGGGCUGCCUGGGUGCUCAGGGUGUGUGUGUGGCCACAUCUAAUAGUGAAUAGACUGGUGUGUGUGUGGUCAAAGCUGAUUUAGUCAAAUGGUGUGUAAGUGUGUGUGGCCUUGUGAGUGUGCUUUGUUUUAUUUUUUUUUUGAUGGUGAGAUAUCGGGACCCUAAGCAGAAUUGAGAAUGAUGGUGACUCAUAGCUGAUUGUCUAGAAGACUUAUGAGAACAGAGAGCUGGGGAGUGAUCCUAAGCUUGGAUCUGAGUGUAUACACUUAUGUGGGUUUUCAUCUGACAAAAUAUCCCUUUAGGGAAGGUCCCAAUGGUGAAUAUGCUUUGUAAGCAUAUUGCGUGGCAUUGUAUUUUAAGAGCUUCGUUUGUCUUGGCCAUAGUGCAAAGAAAAAUUGUGAAAUAUUGUAAAAUGACAGAAGCCUUGGGCAACUGGUUGAAAUGGUCAAUUGGUAAAGCGGUUUGUUAAUUGAACAACCUAACACCCAGUCAAUUAGUGGAGAUACUAAUAUAAUUUGCAUCCUACUUGCUUUUAUUUUUAACAAAUUAGUUAUUACUACAUGGUGAGCGUCAUGUAAUAUUCUUGAGACAUGCUGAUAAGGUUUGUAAUGUGAUCCCCAACUUUUCAUGUCCUGCUCAUACGUAAAAUAUAUAAAUUAUUAUGUAUUUGUUUUUGUUUAUUUUUAAUAAUUGUUUGUUUUUUGAGAAUUUAAUACACACACACACAUAUAUAUAUACACACAUUAUUAUUAUAAUACAUAUAUUUUGAAAGAAGUCUCUUAUACUCACUAAGAACACGUAUAACAAAAAUAAGUAAAUACAAAUUGUUCUAUUUUAA